UAAAAUUUUUCAACAAAUUUUUUAUGAUACUUGUACAAAAUAUAUCAUAAAAAAUUUGUUGAAAAAUUUUAAUAAAACCCACUAGCAUACUUCUAUACAAUUUAUGGCUUAAAGACAUUCUGCCACAAAAAAAAAACCUAUACCUUGAUAACCUAAUGAACUUGUAAUAUUACAUGGUUUCAUGAGCUAAUGCCAUCUUCCCAUGAUAUCACUUCUCUUUAUUCUUCCAUAAUCAACAACCAGAAGCAUCUUGUGACUCAUGUAAAAAUUCUUAAGCGUGUCGAUAUAGGCUCUCGGCACAAAGGACAAAUUGAAAUGGUUGCAGCACAAUCCUUGCAAGUCAUAUGACCGCAUCCAAAGGCCAUGUCUUUUGGGUUUGUCAAGCAAAUGGGACACACCGGUUCUACUGGAGCUGUUGGUUCAACUGCAUCAAAAUUUUUUAUGAUUGGGAUUGAUUUAACAGCAUUAUCAUGAUCAACCACUUCACGUGGAGGAGGAAGAGGCCUUGUACGAGGAUGAGGCCUCGCCUGUGCUAAACUUGAUUCUCUAUUCAUGUAAUUAAGCCUUUGAGUGGCUCUGUACUGGAAUGGAAUUUCCAUAAGGGCAGCAAGUGCAAAGGCUGUUUCUUUCUUUGAUAUUUGUGUGUUCUCAGACAUGAUUUUUGUAAAGUUGACAAACUGGAAGUUAUCAAAUGCACGUUGAGGAAUGUUAUCAUCAAAUUGUUCCAUUGCAUCCCAUGGUCCAUCCCCAACUCCAACCAAAAUUAUUGACAGAGGAUAUUGGCUAGCAGCAACAAUGGACUUCACAGUCGCUUGCUCUUGCGGACUGUAACUCCCAGGUGGAAUAUCAGGACUCCUAGUAACCUGCCCAUCAGCAAUGAUAACAAGGACAUGAUAUUGUCCAGUGCUGUUUUCUACAAUGUCAAUUGCUGCAUCAAUAAUUGGAGCAAAUG
RNAcentral lists this unclassified non-coding RNA (952 nucleotides) under Hevea brasiliensis (rubber tree). The record is from RNAcentral. Lineage: Eukaryota; Viridiplantae; Streptophyta; Magnoliopsida; Malpighiales; Euphorbiaceae.